This 253-nucleotide ribosomal RNA is filed under the name uncultured bacterium. Its description in RNAcentral is "partial 16S ribosomal RNA". It matches the Rfam family "Bacterial small subunit ribosomal RNA", at positions 524 to 776 of the family's 1533-position model. The record is from RNAcentral.
UACGGAGGGGGCUAGCGUUGUUCGGAAUUACUGGGCGUAAAGCGUACGUAGGCGGCUUUGUAAGUUAGAGGUGAAAGCCCGAGGCUCAACUCCGGAAUUGCCUUUAAGACUGCAUCGCUUGAAGCAUGGAGAGGUUAGUGGAAUUCCGAGUGUAGAGGUGAAAUUCGUAGAUAUUCGGAAGAACACCAGUGGCGAAGGCGACUAACUGGACAUGUAUUGACGCUGAGGUACGAAAGCGUGGGGAGCAAACAGG